UUUCGGGGCAGGGUGAAAUUCCCGACCGGCGGUUAUAGUCCGCGAAGCCUACAGGCCCGAAUCGGUGAAACUCCGAUACCGACGGUACAGUCCGGAUGGAAGAAGAU
RNAcentral lists this non-coding RNA (107 nucleotides) under bovine gut metagenome. RNAcentral's name for it is "FMN riboswitch (RFN element)". It matches the Rfam family "FMN riboswitch aptamer (RFN element)". From Rfam's summary of the family: The RFN element is a highly conserved domain that is found frequently in the 5'-untranslated regions of prokaryotic mRNAs that encode for flavin mononucleotide (FMN) biosynthesis and transport proteins. The record is from RNAcentral.